This 496-nucleotide long non-coding RNA is filed under the name Marmota monax (woodchuck). Lineage: Eukaryota; Metazoa; Chordata; Mammalia; Rodentia; Sciuridae. The record is from RNAcentral.
CUGGCAGGUGGUCAGGGGGCUCCCUGGUGAGCUCUCUGUCUCUCCUCUUCAUCCUGCCUGGAACCUUGACUUGCUUAUGUCAGUCUAUAAGUCCUGAACUUCUCAACCUGAAGGAUCUCAGCAUCCCCACUUGUUAGAAAAGUCACCAACAAGUCCCAGCACAUUCCCUGCCAAGUGCUGUGCACUUGUGCCCUGGACUCUCCCUUCUGUCCCUCCGCUGGCUUCCCCACCCCUCCUCUCCAGCGGAGUGCUCCUCUCCCUCCUCAGCUCCACAUUGGCCAUCUCUGCUGGUUCUGCUCCUCCUCAGCUUUCAACAACCCUUCAUCUCUCUCCUUUCAAACGUGCCCUCUGCAGACCUCACUUCCCUUCCCACUCUCCUCUCAGUUACUGCCUCAGCUCUCUCCUUCCCUCGCCAUCUCCACUUUCUUUCCUCCCAUUCUCUUUUGAACCCCUCUGACCAGACUUUUGCUCCUGCUUUUGUACGGAAACUGCUCUC